This 216-nucleotide ribosomal RNA is filed under the name uncultured bacterium. RNAcentral describes it as "partial 16S ribosomal RNA". It matches the Rfam family "Bacterial small subunit ribosomal RNA", at positions 428 to 635 of the family's 1533-position model. The record is from RNAcentral.
AAACUCUGUUGUUAGGGAAGAACAAGUGCCUAGUAACUGAUGGCACCUUGACGGUACCUAACCAGAAAGCCACGGCUAACUACGUGCCAGCAGCCGCGGUAAUACGUAGGUGGCAAGCGUUGUCCGGAACUUUCGGGCGUAAAGCGCUCGCACGCGGCUCUUUAAGUCUGAUGUGAAAUCUCGCGGCCUCAACCGCGCAACGGCCAUUGCAAACUG